Actinobacteria bacterium OV450 is the source of this 126-nucleotide non-coding RNA. The record is from Rfam. NCBI's taxonomy places the organism in Bacteria, Bacillati, Actinomycetota, Actinomycetes.
GAUAGGACCCUGUCGUUACCGUGAUUGGACUCUGACGCUGAGUCAACUAGCCUGGAACGCGUGGUUCUUCGCGCGCGGAACCCGGGGCGGUCCGAGCCACUAGGGGGGAGGCUCGGACCGCUCUCG